Molecule: ribosomal RNA, 275 nt
Filed under: uncultured bacterium
Lineage: Bacteria
Description: partial 16S ribosomal RNA
Rfam family: Bacterial small subunit ribosomal RNA
Source: RNAcentral
CCUACGGGGGGCUGCAGUGAGGAAUAUUGGACAAUGGGCGAAAGCCUGAUCCAGCCAUGCCGCGUGAAUGAUGAAGGCCUUCGGGUUGUAAAGUUCUUUCGGCGCAGAAUAUAAUGAAUGUAUGCGCAGAAGAAGCCCCGGCUAAAUUCGUGCCAGCAGCCGCGGUAAUACGAAUGGGGCAAGCGUUGUUCGGAAUCACUGGGCGUAAAGCGUGCGUAGGCUGUUUGACAAGUCAGAAGUGAAAGCCCAGGGCUUAACCCUGGAAUUGCUUUUGA